CCUACGGGUGGCAGCAGUGAGGAAUAUUGGUCAAUGGACGAGAGUCUGAACCAGCCAAGUAGCGUGAAGGAUGACUGCCCUAUGGGUUGUAAACUUCUUUUAUAAAGGAAUAAAACGAGGCACGUGUGCCUUUUUGCAUGUACUUUAUGAAUAAGGAUCGGCUACCUCCGUGCCAGCAGCCGCGGUAAUACGGAGGAUCCGAGCGUUAUCCGGAUUUAUUGGGUUGAAAGGGAGAGUAGAUGGGUGGUGAAGUCAGUUGUGAAAGUUUGCGGCUCAACCGUAAAAUUGCAAUUGAUACUGGGUGUCUUGAGUGCAGGUGAGGCAGGCGGAAUUCGGGGUGUAGCGGUGAAAUGCGUAGAUAUCACGAAGAACCCCGAUUGCGAAGGCAGCUUACUAAACUGUGACUGACACUGAGGCUCGAAAGCGUGGGUAGCAAACAGGAUUAGAUACCCUUGUAGUC
This 460-nucleotide ribosomal RNA is filed under the name uncultured bacterium. RNAcentral describes it as "partial 16S ribosomal RNA". It matches the Rfam family "Bacterial small subunit ribosomal RNA", at positions 338 to 795 of the family's 1533-position model. The record is from RNAcentral.